RNAcentral lists this ribosomal RNA (253 nucleotides) under uncultured bacterium. RNAcentral describes it as "partial 16S ribosomal RNA". It matches the Rfam family "Bacterial small subunit ribosomal RNA", at positions 524 to 776 of the family's 1533-position model. The record is from RNAcentral.
UACAGAGGUGGCAAGCGUUGUUCGGAAUUACUGGGCGUAAAGGGCGCGUAGGCGGCCCACUAAGUCAGACGUGAAAUCCCCCGGCUUAACCUGGGAACUGCGUCUGAUACUGGAGGGCUUGAGUAUGGGAGAGGGAUGUAGAAUUCCAGGUGUAGCGGUGAAAUGCGUAGAUAUCUGGAGGAAUACCGGUGGCGAAGGCGGCAUCCUGGACCAUUACUGACGCUGAGGCGCGAAAGCGUGGGGAGCAAACAGG